UGUGUGGGAAAGAGAACACACAGAAAGCAUCUAAGCGUGAAGCCCACCUCAAGAUUAGAUUUCCCAUAGCGUAAGCUAGUAAGACCCCUGAAAGACUAUCAGGUUGAUAGGUUGGAGGUGUAAGUACAGUAAUGUAUUCAGCUGACCAAUACUAAUAGGUCGAGGGCUUGAUCAAAUU
Molecule: ribosomal RNA, 178 nt
Filed under: Clostridium botulinum
Lineage: Bacteria; Bacillati; Bacillota; Clostridia; Eubacteriales; Clostridiaceae
Description: partial 23S ribosomal RNA
Rfam family: Bacterial large subunit ribosomal RNA
Source: RNAcentral